Molecule: unclassified non-coding RNA, 215 nt
Filed under: air metagenome
Description: partial contains small subunit ribosomal RNA, internal transcribed spacer 1, and 5.8S ribosomal RNA
Rfam family: Eukaryotic small subunit ribosomal RNA (bases 1-46)
Source: RNAcentral
AAGUCGUAACAAGGUUUCCGUAGGUGAACCUGCGGAAGGAUCAUUACCUAGAGUUGUAGGCUUUGCCUGCUAUCUCUUACCCAUGUCUUUUGAGUACCUUCGUUUCCUCGGCGGGUCCGCCCGCCGAUUGGACAAUUUAAACCAUUUGCAGUUGCAAUCAGCGUCUGAAAAAACUUUAAUAGUUACAACUUUCAACAACGGAUCUCUUGGUUCUG